RNAcentral lists this long non-coding RNA (693 nucleotides) under Capra hircus (goat). RNAcentral describes it as "lncRNA (ENSCHIG00000008138.1)". Lineage: Eukaryota; Metazoa; Chordata; Mammalia; Artiodactyla; Bovidae. The record is from RNAcentral.
GGGUGUUGGGAGAACUGGAGAAGAUUGGUUAUUCACCCAACAGCAAUACAGAUCACAAAAGUAUUUUUAUUUUUUAAAUUAAUUUUUAUGUGAGUAUAUUUGAUUUUCAACGUUGUGUUAGUUUCAGCUACAUAGCUGAUUCACUUUGCUGCAGUGUGUGUGUGUGUGUGUGUGUGUGUGUACAUAUAUAUAUAUUCCCCCCUUUUUUGUUUUUCCUUCUCACUUAGGCUUUGAACAUUUUCAGUGACUGGAAUCAAUCUGAGAAAAGUCAUGCACAGACAGAAGACUUUUCAAGAUUUCAAAGACGAGAAAAGGAAGUUUCUGGUGAUGCUUUGGAACAUUCCAUGAGGUCCGCCGUCCAAGCUGACGGAUCCCCAGGACUGGGUUAGGGAGAUCCGAAAGAAGAGGCUCAUGUCCUUUCCCUGUGCCUAACAUCUUUCCCCUGUUUACUCAUUUGGCCAAUUUCCAUUCACUCCAUAGGUCUCAGAGAAGUCUUGUUUGACCUACAGCCUAGGCCAGACCUUUAGGUCUGCACUUUUUUGGGACUCUGUACUUCUCUGUCAUGUAACUCAUCACAAUUAAAAUGUAAACAACCAUUUAUGUGAGUGUUUGCAUUGUGUUCCUGUCCUUUUUCUCCACCAUUCCUUGUAAUACUUGGGUAACGGGAAAGUGUAGUUCACUGCGGGCACUCAA